AGGAUUGAGCGGGAAGGCGCCAGGAGAGCCGGCAGCCCGGCCUGGGAGGGGCUCUCACUCUUCCUCUGCCAGAAGCCUUAUCGAGCGCAGGGUGUUUGACUUCAGAAACACAUCCCCACGGCUUUCCUUUCCGCCUUCCUUCUGGGACUGAUUUGUUUACUUCUUUCAGAGGUUCGCCGUCCCUCUUUCUGCAGGGGUUUGCUGGAUCACAGGUCCCCAGUGCCCCGGACAUAGUGUGUGAGGAAUGCGGGUAUGAGAGAUACUAACAUAGGCAAAGUCGGCUCAUCUCAUCCAACCUCACCACCCUGUGCAUUGCAACCCCACAGUGCAAUGUAAAGAUGGGGAAACAGGCCCAGAGACUCAAGAGAAAUGAAACGAGUGGAGAUUGAGACUGAACUGGACCGGGAUCCGGGCCCCACAGCUGGGCUUGUCCCGAGGCUGUGUGCUGCCCCCGGAGCUCCUUGGAUGGAGAAGCGCUCCCUGCCCCUCCCUGCUCCAUGCCUGGCUUAGACACACGGCGGCCCUGCUCAUGCCUGAAAUUCCACCCUUAGCCACCCUCCCCUGUUUGGCAUUGCCCUCGCACCCCCUCUCGAGGGACACAGAAACCCCGCGUGUGGGUGUCCUCACUGCAGGUCUCCCUACCUGGCAGGCGGGGAAUGUUUUGGGGCAGGUGGUGGGCAAUGGAGGAGAAACAGUAAGCAGGGAUUUCAGGAAGAAGAAAACGCCAGCAAGAUCUGAUCCUGGUCCUCAAAGAGCAUGGAGACCCUCUUUAUACAAAUGGGAAUACUGAGGUAUGCAGUUCGAGAGGAUUGACCGAGGCCAUUUGGCUGGUUGAAGAGCGAUGCUGCGUGUCCAGAGCAGCGGGUGUGGGAGGCAGAGCCUGGAGCUCCCAGAGCCGGCGGCCCACGGCCUCGCCUCCAGCCAGGAGGGUGCGGAAUUCUCCCCCACCCAGCAGAGGCUCUGGCCAUCUGUCUCCAAGGAUGCGGGGGAGCGGACCGGCUGUGCCGCUCUAGGGCUGCUCCGCCUGACAGACAGCAGUGUCGACCACCCAUGUUUGCUGCACAGACUCUAGCUUCCACACCCCUCCCCACCCCAGCAGCCUGGGGAAGGAAGGCUGGAGGUCCCUGCAUGACGGGUGAGGAGAGAGGACAGGAGCCCGGUGCUCUGAACACCGCCCCAGCCCAGCUGCACGUCAGGACCCCGCACUGGCCUCUUACAUUGAGAAGCCAAGACCCACCCAAAACCCAGCUAUCAAAGUCUCUGGGGACAGCACCAGCAGGGCAGAGGGCGUUGGUUCCCUUAGAAUGUGCUAGAAGGCUCAUCCCUGCAGGAGGUGCCCCUGCAGGCAUCCUUGCCCCCACACUGCCUGGUGCUGCCCACCUGCUCACUUGCAGGUGACCCUAGUUUCUCAGUGGCUCGGCAGCCUCGCGGGCUGUUGUAACACUGACACCACGUCUGUGAGAUCAUUGGCUUGGAAGAUUCAGCUCAGAAUUGGAUAGAAGGGCCCUGCCCUGCCAGGCACAGCUGCCGGCCCUUGUCACCUGCAGCUGCAUGAGAAACUAAGGCUCAAACCAAAUCCUUCUGGACAGAAAAGCAGGUCCCCCUCCACUACCCCUUCGUCUGGGCUCUCGGUCAGCGGGGUCAGGGUGGCCGGGACAGUCACUCUCAUUUCCAGAGGAGGCGAGAGGCAGAUGAAGGCCAUGGACAGCAAGCCAUGGGGCCACAGCACAGCCUCAGGUCGUUGCUGACACACCUGCGCCUCCCACAGCCCUCCCCAGGAAAGCCGCGGCAGAGCUCACCCCACUCCCAGGGUGCUCACCUGGGACCUCCUCACCUCUGCACCUGCCCUGGGUAUCCUCAGCCGUGACCCUGGCCUGGCAGUGCCGGCGGACAGGUUGCAACCAGCCCAGCUCCCCAGGGGUGAGAGGGGCCCAUCACCGGCCACCCACAGGCAUCCCUGGGUCUGCUUUUUGGAGCAGUGUCCGGGGUUCCCUUCAUAUCCUUUAUAUCUAUGUGAACCUGACCGGCACACUCACUCCAGGCCCAGGUGUUCUGUAAACACUGAACACCAUGCUGUUAACCAAGGUUACGUUAAAAAGUGACUAUGUGGCCAGGAAAUAGAUUUUGUAUAGUUAUGUGCUGUUAGGAUAGAUACGGGUUUUCGUCUGCGGCUCCUGGCUUAUAACUCCCAUAGCACUUGUUCCCAUUUGCGUUAGAAUGUUGGGGGUGUUGAGCCUCAUGGGCAGCCUCUGCCUUCUCCUGCCCUCCUUUCACCUGCCCCAAGGCGGCACCCUAACUUUCUCCUGCCUUUCGGAUUGUGGGUCUUAAGACCCUCCCAUGAGAGGGUCCCAUCCUAUGCCAUGGGGGAAGGAAUGCUGACAUCAUGAAGCUUCCAUAAAAUCCCAAGAGGACUCGGUUCAGUGCGGUUCCUGGAGUGUGGCGCGCCCAGCAAGGAUGUGGGAGCUCUGCGUCCCUUCCUCCCACUUCGGUCUACGCAUCUCUUCAUCUGCAAUAUUCUUUUUCAUUAAUCUAUAAAUGUGUUUGCCUGAGCUCUGCGAGCUGCUCCAGCAAAUUAAUAGAAUUGGAAAGAGGGGGUCAUGGGAAUGCCAACCUGAAGGCGGCCAGUCAGAAGUUCCAGGGGCCCAGACUUGCGGCUGGUGUGUGUAGGGGCAGCCUUGGCGGGGGAGCAUCACAGAAGUCUUCUCCUGUGUUGAUGAUUAUUGAGGUGUGAGAGUAGAGGAGAAACACAGUUCAGGUGAGAGGCUUCCCUGCACAAGUUACCAACCAUAUGACCUGGCACAACUUUCCCAACCUGUGCCCCUUCCUCGCCUACUGGGGGGUAAUGAGAUCAAUGCCGUAGCCUGAGCAAGAGCCCAGAACGGGGCUGGGUGGGUGGGCAAACCUCGAGAAACGUGAGCUCGUAUGUGAGGCAUAUGACAGGCCGAACAGUGUGCCAUGUCCGUGGUGCCAUGCCCCAGCGUGGCUUUGAGCGCAGUGACUCUCUUAGAUUUCUGAUUGUAAAGGCCCUGUGUGCUGGGUAAAGAGUUUGGAGAAAUGCAGAAAAUUUAAAGAACAUGAAGAACUGCCCAGAAAUAACAACUGUGAACGUUUUGGAGGCCUCUCGUCCUUUCCUGUGUACCUCGUGGCACAGCUACACUGUGCCCUGCCUGGGGUCCCAGAACAUGACAGCAUCCACUGCCACCCUGACUCAUGCCUGUCCUCAGCUGGGCUCCUGCGCCAACCACAACCCCACUCCCCCCUGAAUGACAGCCAGUCUGUCAGGAUAUUCCUCCUCCGCUCAGGGCAGCCCCACUGCCGAGUCCCCAGCAUGCAUUGACUUGGGUACUCCCUACCUUGAGUCAACCAUUAGGCCCAUCACGCUGAUGCAGAGCAGGGAGCCCCAAAGUGGGGCUGGGCCCCCAAGGAUUCUUUACUUCACCCAGGAGAGACUUCAAGGGCAAGCCCCUGGUGGGGUGGGGCUUUAUUGACGAGGCAGUGUUGCAGCUCCGUGACUGUCCCUACAGAGCAGGACUACCCCACAGGCAGUGCGCUGAGAGGAGCAGCUCAGAGCAGUUGUGCAGUCACAUCUAUAUCUACUUUUAAUUACAAGCAGAUUAAGGGGUGGUUUAUGCAGAAAUUUCUAGAUCCUGGGGUUAUUGCCAUGGAAAGAGGAGGUAACGCCCAGGUGUUGCCAUGGCAGCGGUCAACUCACACUGGUGGGCGUGUCUUAUGGAAAGGUGCUUCCACCCCAUCCCUGUUAUAGCUGGUCCUCAAUUUGGUCCAGCAUCUGAGCCCCGCCUCUGGAGUAGAGUGCCACCUCUCCACUGCAAUGUGGGUGGGGACAGAUCCCCUGGGGCACCUAGCUGAAAGUCACAUCCUGCCGGAAGAGCUAAGACCACACCUGUCUGUCUGAUUUCUGAAGCUGGGCUCUCAUCCCUUGGAUCUCUGGCUCCCUUCUUGUCCUAGAGGCGAAGGGGAAGAGCUAAAUAUUUCGUGACCUUUAGGCCAUACUUGUAGAGGGGUGUGCAGGCGGGAGGAACUGAGGCCAGGUUCCGACUCUGGCUGGAGGCCUACCCAGGCCCCUGAGGUUUCUCCAGGGUCAACCCCAUGGCCCACUGGCAGCUGAGUCACACAGAGUGAUUGCUGGUCAUGCCCUUGAUUGAGAACGAUGCACUCAGAGCGUCCUCCGCUCAUAAAUAGCAGGAAGCAAAGUACAUUACGAGAGCAUAUGGUACCUCUAGGCCAUUUCUGCCUCUGGCCCCGUCACUGCCACAGUGGCUGAAACUCAUCUUCUGUUCUGACAGGUUUCCCUAGAAACCCAUCAAUUUAUAGUGUCUAUAGCUGGCCUUUUGGAGGCCCCAGACCAAACUGUGUUAGAAAACAACAGCAACAACAAAACUCCUAUUUCUCCAAAUGGCCCUGGAAGAUGCACCGGCUGUGCCCUCAAGACGCUGUGUGUGGGGCAUCCGCCUCCCUGGGCGCGUGGAGCUGGCUGAUGGCCAGGGUGUAAGGGUGCAUACUGGGCAAGGACGGGCUGAGGCAGUUGGCAAGGUCUGCAUCACCUCCACCCAUCCGUGGUCCCUGGUCAUGAAGGAUACGCCCAUCCAUCCACCUUUCUGAAACUGUUGUCAACGCACUCUGAAUUCAGGAAUGCUCUCCUCUCUCUUCCUUCUCCCCUUGGCAGACUCAGGGCGGAAAUGGUAGCUGACGUUUUCCCCAAGAGCGAGGACAAGGAAUGACCAAAAGAUCAUCAUCCCAGGGGCUUUGGGAAUGUGGGCCCUGCUGCAUUUCCUUCAGCAGAAGGGUUUCUUUCCUUCAGUUUCCAUCAGCUUUCAGGGAGGACAAAGGUCCCUUUUGCUAACUGAUCUCUGUCUCACCCUCUGCAAACCCAUCCUAUAGGCUGCAGUCAUGGCCCCACUUGGGAGUCCGCCUCCUUUCUCUCACUCCUGACUUCCCAAAACUCUGGCUGGUUGUGUGCUCCAGGGAACUUUCUAGGGUGAUGGCAAUAUGCCAUAAUUUGGAGUUUUAGGGUGGUAGUUACGUGGGUGCCUACAAUUGUUAAAAUUUACUAAAUUAAGAUCUGUGCAUCAUAUUGUGUUAAAUUGUAUCUCAAACAGAAAAGGACGAGAGUGCACCUUGUGGAGGGCAAAUCUGUGCCGCACCCCCCAGCCCCGCCGGUGCUCUGGGGUUGGCCUCAGCUCAUGCCCUGCAAGUCCUCGCCUGCAGACGCAGCUUGCUUUGCUCAGCACGCUCAUGCGUGUAUGCCACGGGUCAGUUGAGAUCUGGACCAUGGGUAGGUACAGAAUCUUUCUUGGUUAUUGUGAUGGUUUUAACAGCUUUGUUGAGCUGUAAUCUGCCUACUAUCGAAUUUCCCCAUUUAAAAUACACAACUCAAUGCUUUUUAGUAACUGUCUCCACGAGCUGUGCAACCAUCAGCACAGUCUAAUGUGAGAACAUUUUCAUUGUCCCUUCCCAAAGAAGGCCUGUAUUAAUUAGCAGUCAUUCCCCGAUCCCUCACCUCCUCUAGGUCUUACCUGACCCCAGGCCAGCACCAAUCUCCUGUCUGUCUCUAUGAAUUUGCUGAUUCUGGACAUUUUGUAUAAAUGGAAUCAGACAACGGAUGCUCUUAGUGACUGGCUUCUCCACUUGGCAGAAUGUGUUCAAGCCUCUUCCAUGUUGCAGCACACAAUUGUACUUCAUCCUUUUUUGUUGCUGCAUAAUACUCCAUGGUUGCUGAAUACUAUUCCAUGGUAUUACUUGUCAGUUGGUAGACAUUUGGGUUGUUUCUACUUUUUGGCUGUUAAGAUCUAAUGCUGCUAUGAAAUUCAUGUACAAGUUUUUAUGUGAACAUGUUUCCAGUUUUUGUGAGCAUAUACCUAGGGGUGCAAUUGCUGGGUCAUAUGGUAACUGAAUAAUUAAUCUUUUGAUGAACUGCCAGGCUGUUUUCAAAUCAACUGCAUGAUUUUACAUCCCACCAGCAGCAUAUGAAAGUUCCAAUUUCUCUACAUCCUUGCCAACACUUGUUAUUAUCUGUCUUCAUGACUACAGCCAUGCUAAUGGAUGUGAAGUGGUAUCUUACUGUGAUUUUGAUUUGCAUUUCCCUGAUGGCUAAUGCAGCUGAGCAUCUUUUCAUGUGCUUAUUGGCCAGUUGUGUAUCUUCUUUGGAGAAAUGUCUAUUCAAGUCUUUUGCCCCUUUUUAAAAAAUUGAGUUCUCUGUCUUUUAAUUAUUGCAUAGUGAGUUCCUUAUUAUUAUUAUUAUUAUUAUUAUUAUUCUUUUAUUUUAUUUUUAUGAGAUGGAGUCUCACUCUGUCACCAGGCUGGAGUGCAAUGGCUUGAUCUUGGCUCACUGCAACCUCCACCUCCCAGGUUCAAGCAAUUCUCCUGCCUCAGCCUCCCAAAUAGCUGGGACUGCAGGUGCACACCACCAUGCCCAGCUAAUUUUUGUAUUUUUAGUAGAGACAGGGUUUCACCAUGUUGGCCAGAAUGGUCUCAAUCUUGUCAAGAUCAGGAUCAGGUGAUCCUCCUGCCUCGGCCUCCCAAAGUGCUGGGAUUACAGGCAUGAGCCACUGUGCCCAGCUGUGAGUUCUUUAUUCUAGAUACAAGUCACUUAUCAGAUGGAUGAUAUAUAACGAUUUUC
This 6637-nucleotide long non-coding RNA is filed under the name Homo sapiens (human). RNAcentral's name for it is "HSALNT0156601". The record is from RNAcentral. Lineage: Eukaryota; Metazoa; Chordata; Mammalia; Primates; Hominidae.